Molecule: long non-coding RNA, 312 nt
Filed under: Mus caroli (Ryukyu mouse)
Lineage: Eukaryota; Metazoa; Chordata; Mammalia; Rodentia; Muridae
Description: lncRNA (MGP_CAROLIEiJ_G0002809.1)
Source: RNAcentral
UGACUUCACCAGGAGGUUCUCCCUAACUGGUACUCUUCAGGCUCCGGAGCAGUAGUUCGGAUCCCACAAAGUCCUGGGAGAAGGCGGCGGGCGCGCUGCUAGGGCACUGGUGCAGAGCCAUGGUCAGAGAUAGGACUGGGGUCCAGGAUACCUUCUUUCUUUGGUGCGAUGGUAGAGAGCAAACGGUGGAAGCUUCUCUUAACGUUCGUUCCUGUGAGCUUCGUUAAGAGGGACAGCUUCUGAGCGUUUAGUCAGGGUAUGCCGCGGCGUCCUCCCAAAGAACAGCUACAGAAACAAAGAACAAAGCAAAAC